UAUCAAGUUCAUAUCCCCAGCAAAGGUCGAUUCCUACGACAUUUCCCCAGGAAGUGCUUUCCUCACAGACUCUCCUCGCAGAGCCUCGCCAAGCAAAGUUUCCAUAGUUGAUACUUCCCCAACAAGGUCAACCCAGCAAAGGUCGAUUCCUACGACAUUUCCCCAGGAAGUGCUUUCCUCACAGACUCUCCUCGCAGAGCCUCGCCAAGCAAAGUUUCCAUAGUUGAUACUUCCCCAACAA
This 241-nucleotide long non-coding RNA is filed under the name Lathyrus oleraceus (garden pea). Its description in RNAcentral is "Pisum sativum (pea) long non-coding RNA (PSAT_LNC034845)". The record is from RNAcentral. Lineage: Eukaryota; Viridiplantae; Streptophyta; Magnoliopsida; Fabales; Fabaceae.